AGUUUUAUAGUUUAAUUAAAAUAUUAAAUUGCAAAUUUAAAGAUAGUUCAUCUUAAAGCUUAAGAUUU
RNAcentral lists this transfer RNA (68 nucleotides) under Entylia carinata. Its description in RNAcentral is "tRNA-Cys". Lineage: Eukaryota; Metazoa; Arthropoda; Insecta; Hemiptera; Membracidae. The record is from RNAcentral.